Lagopus leucura (white-tailed ptarmigan) is the source of this 565-nucleotide non-coding RNA. Lineage: Eukaryota; Metazoa; Chordata; Aves; Galliformes; Phasianidae. The record is from the annotation of a RefSeq genome assembly.
AUGGAUAGAGUUGGGAACCCUCACUACCAAUCAUGCCUUCAGGUCUCCUGGGGCAUCGUCACAGGAACAGCAGAGACUGACAACUGCUCCCUACCUCAUUUAAGGGUUGGCAGUGGAGGUGUGGGUACUUUGCUGGUGAUCCCUGUGUUCUUGAGGUCUUCUAAAGGUUCCCUGGUGCAGGCAGCACUGACUCAGCCGGCCUCAGUGUCAGCGAACCUGGGAGAAACAGUUUCCACUGACACCCACAUCUGUUCCUGGAUUAACAACUAUUAUGGCUGGUACCAGCAGAAGUCACCUGGCAGUGCCCUUGUCACUGUGAUCUAUGGUAGCACCAACAGACCCUCAGGCAUCCCUUCACGAUUCUCCGGUUCCGUAUCCGGCUCCACAGCCACAUUAACCAUCGAUGGGGUCCAAGCCGAGGACGAGGCUGUCUAUUACUGUGGGAGCUACGACAGCAGCGGUACUGGUUAUGGGUGAUCCAGAGAGAUGUUGCACUGAAUUGAUGCCAAGUCUUAAAAAUGCCAGCAGAUGUGGGAUGGGGCCCAUUGCCCAAAGACCCCAGCUG